AUGUCUAUGCAAUUUCAAGAUGAUGCAGAUGGUAUACCUCCUUCUGAGGCUGAAAGUAGGAAUGAAAGGCCCCAAAGGAUAAAGCACCCUUCAGCCAAGAUGCUAGCCCAUCUAAUAGAUGAAAAGGAGCUCCUCCAUGUGAGGUUAGGUUCGGCAUGGGAGCGAAUUGUAACAUUAAUGGACAGAAUUGAGAGCUUGGGUAUUACAAGGGUGCCAUCCAUAUUACAGACAGACCUUGAAGAGACCUUCGGUAUUUGGAGGGGUUUGGUGUCUAAGAUAGUCCAGGUCCUCGAGCGCAUUAACGCCAAGGAUUCAGAGUUAGAAAUAGUGAGUGUCUUAGCUGACACUAAUGAGAAAGAAAAUAAGGUGAGGGCAAUUCUAGAUGCCUUGGAAUUUAGUUCUCCAUCUGUUAAUCUAAGGUCUGAGCCAAAAGGAAAUCAGUCUCCCUUAUGCAGCCAUGAGACCAAUCUUUUAAAAUCACCUGCUGUGGCACUUAGUCUUAAGUCCAACCGCUCUAGCCAGGUAUCUAAACUAAGGGAGUGUGCAUCAUCUAAACAUAGCCACUCUAGCAAGUCUUCUGCUGCUGGGAGUGCCAUCUCUUCCCUAGCUGCCUUGCACAUUAAGGAGGCUGCACGUCUAGAGCUAAAGAGCAAGGUAGCGGGGGCAGAGGCUGAUGCUAAGGCAGCUGAUCUCACCCUUCCCUUUAAAGAAGAAGAGCAACGACUGCAAAUAGAACAGGCCCGUAGACAAAGCGAAAUGCAAAUAGAACAGGCCCGUAGACAAAGCGAAAUGCAAAUGGAACAGGCCCAAAGGCAAGGUGAAAUAGAAAUGCUUAGAAUAAGGAUGGAUGCUACUGCCAAAAAGGUAAGGGCUGAGACUUUGGCCAAGGCCCUAAUUGAGCCACUCACAGAAGAAAAUGUAAGUCAGUUGCCGAAGCAGGACCCUUCUUCCAAGGUGCUUGUGCAUCUUAAUAGCUUAAACAGCCAGUUUUCGGAUGAGGAACAGGAAGACUUCUCUCCUUACCCAGAGCAGGGCCCCAAAGUCACUUUUGAGUUUCCUGCAGAGCAGAGCGUCAUAGCGGGGAGCUCACCCUUGCCCGAGCUACCUGUGCCUCCUGCUAAAUCCCUAGGUCAGUCAAUCAGGGCCUCAAGGCCAAGUGCUAGUUGGCCCCUACAGACAGCUGCACAGGGAACCAUCGAUUCGUCAGUGGUCGAUGUCAUCCCUCCAAGAGACCAAAGGUUGACGCAAGGUACACGGUGGGAGUCCACUCCACAACAGCAAACUCCUCAAUUGUUCCCUUCGACGCCAGAGUCCCAGCUUGUUUCCAUCAUCAGAAGCCCCAGAAGAGAUCUUAAGGACAAGGGUGUCGAAAAGUUUUCGGACAAGCCUGAGGAAUUUCUUCUCUGGAAGGCCACCUUCCAGAGAGCAAUCAGAGACUUAAAGUUAUUGCCUGAGGAAGAACUGACUCUUCUGGCUGCAUGGUUGGGCCCAGCCUCAUCCUCACAAGUUAAGAAGAUCUACGCAGCCCACGUAGCCGAUCCCGACAAAGCCCUGGAAAAGGCCUGGGCCAGGUUGCAGCAGAGGUAUGGGGCCAGCACAGAGAUUGAAGCAUCUCUUAUGGACAAGCUCCAAAGGUUCCCAGCUUUAAAACUCAAAGACUUCAAACUCUUGUGGGACCUUAGCGAUCUCCUUACGGAAUUAGAGUCGGCCAAGGAGAAUCCAGAACUGCCCGGUUUGAAGUGCCUCGAUCAGCACCUGUCCCAGAGGCAGAUCUUGACCAAGCUGCCCUUCACUUUGCAAGAACGCUGGGGACAGGAGGUCUUCAACUACAAGGAGGCCCACUCCCAGGCAUACCCUCCAUUUUCUCAUUUGGUCCAGUUCAUCACCAGGGCGGCCAGAGAAAGGAAUGAUCCGCAGACGGGCCUCCCCACCUUAUACCAAGGGACCCAUCCAGGGAAGGCAUCUGAAGUGGACAAGAAACCACCUAGAGAGGCCAAUAGACCUGUCAGCGUAAAGGCAGUCGAAACUCAACACAAGACUGAUGAACCCAGGUCGGAGGUAAAAGAGUUGCUUUGCCCUAUCCACCAAAAGCCUCACAGCUUGGCCAACUGCAGGGAGUUUAGUAGAAAGUCAUACAAAGAAAGGCAACAGCUAGUUCAAAAGCAGGGAAUCUGCUUUAGAUGCUGUGGAGCAACUCCACACUUUGCGUCCAACUGCAAAGAAAACGUCAAGUGUGAGAAAUGCAACAGCCUCAAGCAUUGCACCGCAAUGCACAACUCCAGUGUCAUCUCCCACCCAAAGGGAACGUUUCACCAAAAGAAAAGUCAGCAGUCGAAGACACCGACAAGCCAGUCGUACCAGAGAUGCAGGUGGAGGUUUCAGCAGUCGCCUGUACAGAGCUGUGUUCUGACUCGCACCAGUACAGAGUUUGUCAUCCUAUCUGCCUAG
This 2448-nucleotide long non-coding RNA is filed under the name Anolis carolinensis (green anole). Its description in RNAcentral is "lncRNA (ENSACAG00000028703.2)". Lineage: Eukaryota; Metazoa; Chordata; Lepidosauria; Squamata; Anolidae. The record is from RNAcentral.